GUUGGCUGGAGACUUCAAAUUGAAUCCAUGUAUGGGCCGAAGUGGCGGUUGUUCAGAGGCGGUAUUUGUAUACCCUGUACUGAAGCUUUGUAGGUGAAGUUUUGCAAGUGAAGAUUUGAAGCUAGAGUUCUGUAAAUGAAGCUUGUGAAGCUAGAGCUCUGUAAAUAAAACUUUUAAAGCUAGAGCUCUGUAAAUGAAGUUUUUGAAGCUGGAGCUUUUGUAAAUGAAGCUUUUGAAGCUAGAGCUCUGUAAAUGAAGCUUGUGAAGCUAGAGCUCUGUAAAUGAAGCUUUUGAAGCUGAUUGACAUGAGUGAUGCUCAUGAAUGUUUAUGUUGAUUGACAUAAGUGAUGCUCAUGGAUGUUGUCAUGAGUGAUGCUCAUGAAUGUCAUGUUAACAUGAAUGAUGGUCAUGAAUGUUUAUGUAUGAUUGUCAUGAGUGAUGCUCAUGAAUGUUUAUGUAUGAAUGACAUGAGUAAUGCUCACGUAUAAUUUGGAGUACUGGACGUACUUUUGAUCACCUGGUUGGUGGCAUGAAGGAGAGUACGGGUUGUACAUUUCAUCACCUGGUUGGUGGCAUGAAUGGCUGGUUGCCAAAUGAUAUUAGAGUACGAGAUGUACAUUUCAUCACCUGGUUAAUGGUAAUAGCGGCAGGUUGUCGAAUAAUUUUGGGGUACUGGGCGUACUUUUGAUCACCUGGUUGGUGGUAAUAGCAGUAUGUUGUCGAAUAAUUGUGGAGUACUGGGCGUACUUUUGAUCGCCUGAUUGGAGCUAUUUUGGGCUUAUGGGCCUUUGCCAUCUACACAACAUUCCAGCCCAUUUAUUUUGGGCUUUGCCUUUUUUUUUUUAACCCUCUGAUGAGGUUUAUACAGAUAUCUCCAAAAGAUACGAAAAAUAAAUUACAUAAAAAAAAUAAGGAAAGUAAACCACAUCAUUCUGGUGGGGUGUUUAUUCCUUACUUUUGCUUGCUCUUUUGCUUUCUGCUUUUCUUGAUCUCCCCGCUCCUUCUCUAUCCAUCUUGAUUGGUAAGGUAUCUUUUGCCAAACCCAUUUGCUUUGGUCGUGCCCAUCCAUUCUCUCUGUCUUUGUCUUUUCCUUUUUCUAUUUUGUUUUGCUUUUGCUGUCUUUUAGAAGAUGGUAGACAAUAAUAACAUAGUUAAUAAUAGAAAACUUAUCUUCUUCAUUGCAACCCAAUCAGGUUGGGAAGAGGACCACUGUAGCUGCUCAAUUUCAGCCCUAGCCGUGUAGGCCA
Molecule: long non-coding RNA, 1247 nt
Filed under: Malus domestica (apple)
Lineage: Eukaryota; Viridiplantae; Streptophyta; Magnoliopsida; Rosales; Rosaceae
Description: long non-coding RNA (MDOM_LNC009520)
Source: RNAcentral